RNAcentral lists this ribosomal RNA (460 nucleotides) under uncultured bacterium. RNAcentral describes it as "partial 16S ribosomal RNA". It matches the Rfam family "Bacterial small subunit ribosomal RNA", at positions 338 to 795 of the family's 1533-position model. The record is from RNAcentral.
CCUACGGGAGGCAGCAGUGAGGAAUAUUGGUCAAUGGCCGGAAGGCUGAACCAGCCAUGCCGCGUGAAGGUCAGUGCCCUAUGGGCGUUAAACUUCUUUUGUGCGGGAGCAAUAAUGGUCACGUGUGGCCAGACGAGAGUACCGUACGAAUAAGCAUCGGCUAACUCCGUGCCAGCAGCCGCGGUAAUACGGGGGAUGCAAGCGUUAUCCGGAUUUAUUGGGUUUAAAGGGUGCGUAGGCUGUGAGGUAAGUCAGCGGUGAAAUGCCCCCGCUCAACGGGGUGAAGUGCCAUUGAAACUGCCUGGCUGGAAUGCGGAUGCCGUGGGAGGAAUGUGUGGUGUAGCGGUGAAAUGCAUAGAUAUCACACAGAACACCGAUUGCGAAGGCAUCUCACGAAUCCGCGAUUGACGCUGAUGCACGAAAGCGUGGGUAUCAAACAGGAUUAGAUACCCGUGUAGUC